CAGCCCCCUCUACGCAUGCGCUUUGACCGGCCUCCAGUCGGAGUCCGAAUUUCCCAAGUCUCCCUCGCGGCGCAGGCGCCAGAGAACCCUGACGGGAACGUCUCUUGCCGCUUGCGGGCAGGUGCACAUGACCCAUCCCCCUUCUGGACACACUUGAUGACACAAGCCUUCCCCUGGGAGACACUUGAUCAGGAUAAGAAGUAAUGGGUUUAAUCUGCAGCAAGGGAGAUUUAGGUUAGACAUUAGGGGGAACUUUCUAAUUUUAAGGAUAGAGCUGAUCUAUGAAAAGCAGGGCCACUGGACUCCUUGACUGAUGGCUGCAUGGAUAAAUGCCAUGAUUUAAUGGCAUGAUUUAAUGCUGAUGCCACUCUGUGAGGCACUCUGAGUCAACUGUCUGCAGCUGGACUAGCUCCUAUGCUGAGCAGAAGAUGUAACUUCUAGCCACAAGGAUGGGUGACUCAGUAAGGUGAGAUGCAAUGUAAAGAUGGGAUUAACAAGAAAGGGUUUUUGCGUUCUAGUCCUGGGUGUGACAGACUCCUUUGACAGUUUUGCCAAAUCACUUAACCUUUCUGUUUUAAUUGCUACAUCCGUAAAAUGGGGAUAAUAAAACUUACCUCAGAGGAUGAUUAGGUAGUAUUUAUGUUUAGGUAGAGCAAUUGAUUAGGUAGUAUUUAUGCAUUUGCUGCGGGCUGCAUACAAAACCCUCUGAAGCAGAGGUCCCCAAAUUGUGGGGCGUGCCCCUUAGGAGGGAUUGAAGGAACGUUCAGGAGGCCCAGGACUUUUCUGGAGUCCUGAGUAUAAUGCAAAUGAGCCUGCUGUGGCUGACCUCUCCUAUUUUUAUGAAGGAGAUUCAUGAUAAUCCUGUUUCUCUCCCUGCUGUCAGCAGCCAGACUGAGCACUGCCUCUCCUGCAGAGAUUCACAAGCCUACACAUGCUCAGUGCGUUUCCAUGACCAGCACAGAGGACUAAGGAGCCAGGCAUGUAACAUUGAGCAAUUAAAGUAAACUGCUCAUAGUCAACACACUUUUAAGAGAUGGAUUACACAUUGUUGUGAUAAUGAUAGACAGGAACUGGCUAUUUCGUAGGUGGGUAACAGGAAAAUUGUGUUGCAGGCCUACCCCAAAAUGCUAAGGCUGCUUUUGAUAGUGACAUCAUAACUUUGAACAAUUUUCAGGAAAAUUCAGUUCUUGCUGGUAGUGAAAAUCAACCAUUUUUAAGAUAAUUAAAAAGAUAGUCUAUAAAUGAUUAAUAUAGAGUAUCCUGGUUUUGUGCUAAAGGAAUUUGGUUACCUUACAUAGUGUUCAAGUUUAGUUGCAUGCUGUUGAAGGUGGCAAAUUUACUCACUAAAUUUUAGGCUUUAGUACUCACUUCGCAACUCACCACACUUUGUAUCUCAGCUGGAAGAUUUUGUAAAAGACUGACCAACUCUCCAUUCUAUUGAAUUCUGUUCAAAUACAUGGAUUAAUAAUUUAAUCCCAACAAGUGCAAGCAGUAGUUUUAAAACUCAAAGCCACUUUUUCAGCAUUGUGUCAAUAACCUUUCAGCUCAACCAAGAAUUGACUUUUGACACUGACUGGAUGCACUAAAUACACUUUUAAAAAAUAUCUCUAAAGCUACCAUUAAAAAGGUAUAAACAUAGCAAUGCAUAAGUGUACCUCUGUUUAGGCAUCAAUUUCAGCUGUGCAUUCAUUACAUCUUAAAAAGGAGCAAAAUAUCUCUUAUAUUUUUAAUUACAACGAAAGUACCAACAGUAAAAAGGAUGGGGCAACAAUCAGUAAAAGAUCACAGAAGGACCAAUGACACACUGGCUACUUCUGAAUGGUAGCCAAAUGUCAGUAAGGCAGAGGUGUGCACCUUGUAAGCAUACUGAAACAAUUAGGGUUGUGAUGACAUGUCUUUGUUCAUAGCAAGUAUAUUUUUAUCCAGUACAGUAAUCUUAGAAAUAUUUUACCUAACGCCAUAAAAAAGUAGAAGUUAAAGAAGGGACUAUUCAUAGAACAGACCAAGAUGACAAAUCAAUUUCACAUAGAAUAUAUAUGCAUGGGUUUUGAUGAGUUAUAAAAAGAAUUAGUAACACAUUUCCAAAACUUACUAUCUCCACCUCACUGCAUUCAUUUCGGAAAGGCUAACUCAAGACUUCCUGCAGAUUUAUAAUGGUGGUGGUAGAGCAAGAGAUAUUUUUCUGAAUAUAGGAAACUCUUACUUGUGGAUGCAGAUUAGGCUGGUAUGUGUCUGCAAGCAAACCAAAUCAAGUAAUUUCUUAGAGAGCUAUUGUUCUGGGAAAGAAGAGAAAUAGACCACUUUUUUAAAAAAUAGAUUGACCCUGGAAUAAAGGUUUUUAAAAGGAGGAAAGUCAGCAAUGGGCCUGAGAACAAAUACCCUCACUUACCAGUUGGUCUCAUGACUUAAUAAGGAUAAUGCAACACCUCACAAGAGCCAUUGCCCUCAUAUGUAUCUGCAACAUAUGGUUCAAAGGCUGCCACAGCAUACAAGCCAUCUGGUAAGUUAGGAACACAACCAACCAAGUGAAGAGAUCCUUUUCUCUUAUGGAUGUGAGAAAGUGAGCAAGUGACGAGGGCCCAUGACACAAGAGGGAAUGGGCCAUCUGUCUGGCAUUGCUGUGUCUGACAGGUUGAGAGUCUGAAUGCAGUGCCCCUAAAGUUCAGGGGCUGGAUGGUAGGUGUAGAGUAAGCAAGGAUGCCUAAGUAAUAUGAGAUAUUGUCUCUCUCCUGCAGUUGCAGAUAAUGCUGCAUCCACAUAUUUCCAGGCUUAGACAGCAAGGACUGGGAAUUGGAACCCAAGUUUCUGUGUAUUAUGUGAAAGGCCAAUACUAGAUGCCUAGGCUGGCCCAAGUCAGCUGCCAUUAUUCAAUUCUCUCCUAUGCCCUUUCAUCACUAAGUAGCCAUGGCAGCAUAACAGCACAUAUUGUAUAUCCUUUCUUACAUCUUCCCGUAUAAAAAUUGCAGCAGCGAAGAGUCUUGAAAAGAUUUCCUUCAAUAUAGCUAUUGAGUAUCUAUGUUUUCUGUUUCAUCAUGUUACUUUUUCAUUUAUAAUAUUUUAUUAAUUUGGGGGCUUAUGCUGGAGCAUUCCUAGCAGCUGCAACUCCCUUUCAAUGGGAAGUGGGGGUGUUCACCCUUCACAAAGAAGUCUAUUAUAGUUGUAAUUAUUAUAGUGUCUCACAGUUACAUAAUGCCCUCAAUCCCAAAGUGAUUUGCAAACUCCUUAGGAAUCUUUUUAACAACUGCUUGUUGUGAAGCUAUCCCUGUUGUAGAAGACAGCAGCUGUUUAACAGCACACUGCAGUACUGCAGAACCAUUUAGGACAGGGAGCAAAGAAAAAUACACACCCCUCCCCCACCCCACAAGCACCUGCGGUACUCUCAAGAUUUAUUUGGGUAUUGUACAAGUCAUGGACAGGAAUUAUUUUGUUAUUUUAUUUACGGCCCGUGACCUGUCCAUUACUUUUACUAAAAAUACUGUGACUAAAAUGUAGCCUUAGUCACAACUAACGUUCAAAGCCUUGUUUUUACAUUUUAUUUGAUGCAAAAUACCUACUAAUUAAACAAUCCUUUUUCACACCAUGCUGGGAUAUUAGUUUACUAUUAUUUUUAAUAUUUCUAUUGCUUUAGUGUUCAGAGGCCUGCAUCAGGAUUGGAUUCUACUGUGUUUAGGUGCUGUAUGGCCACAGGUCUACGUCCUGAAGAGCUGAUCCAGAGAGAAAAGCACCAUCUAUUACGUAGGGAAUAAUAUUGCCUAUGCCACCUUGCAUUUUCUUGGUGAACUGCUCCUUCAAAUACUGACCAGGCUUGACCCUCUUUAACUCAUGAGAUAAGAACAACCAUCUUGGGUCAGACCAAAGGUCCAUCUUGCCCAGUAUUCUGUCUUCCAAUAGUGGCCAAUAUCAGGUGUCCUACAGGGAAUGAACAGAACAGGUAAUCAAGUGAUCCAUGCCCUGUCACCCAUUCACAUUCCCAGUAACAAUCCUGGUGGUGACACAAUGUACAGUACUAAUUUCAAGAACAACAUAUGCAAUUUCAUCUUCUCAUAACAACAUGUAAGCCAAAAUGCUUACAAUUAAACCAAGACAUUUCUUCUGUAUCAGGAGUUUGAAUUAGGUGACUGAGUUUUCCUGGCAUUGAGAGGAUUAUACCUAUUCCAUUUCUGUUAUAAGUAUAUAUAGUUACACAUACUUUUUUUGUGUCUUGUUAAUUUGCAAAGAUUACUUUUCCACUGGGUUUCCUGCAUCUUGGUAGUAUUCCCCCUUGAUUCUCUGGAUUCAGUUGCUCAAUUGUCUGUUUAUGAAGCAUCUGGUAACUUGAAUGCAGUUAGAGUUUUUUAGAUUUGCCAUUUAGCCUUUGGAUAGUCUUCACUAUAGUCCCCAGAGUCUUGUAUCCUGUUUUUAACUUCUCCUGUUCAUAUCACAUGCCAUCCAUUGUGUCUGGAUAGCUUUUCGAUGAGUAUUUCAAUUAUGUGUCAAUAUGAAGUAUUUGUUAUGGACUUCAAAAGACUCUGGUUUCCAUUUGUCAUUUGAGCUUUUUUACAUAGAGUGCUUAGAGCAUACUGAACUUUGGAAGCACUUUUGCAGAUCUUCAUGCCUUUGUUUGAUCCCUAAUUUCUAGGGGACUCUUAAGUAUCUUUAGCUAUUAGCAAUUGUUUUAACAAGAUGAUUUAAACCUAAACUAUUCUUCAUGAUAAUCUGAGCUGGUGAGGCACAGUAUGUUCACCAAUAUAAGUGAUUCUAGAUUCCACAGUACUGUGAUAUGAAUCAUUUCCUGCUGUCUCUAAACUUUUAACAGGCUGAUGCCUUCCUCAUGCAGAACAUUUCCUUAUCAACUUUUUGGGUUAUAUAACAUAGCUUUACUGAGAUUUGCCAAUAUAUAAAUACUCAUUCCUAUUGUAUUUGAACAAAUUUGUUUCCAGAAUUUUCCAUGGGCAAUCUAUUACCUUAUUUUUUAACUUAAUUUCAGCUUUGCGGUUGUUCAUUUAUUUGGAGGCUGUCAAAGAUGAAAAAGCACCACUCUGUUAUUAAUGAUCAUCAUGAGUUAUACUAGUUCCAGAUUUCGAGCUUGUUCCAGCUUCCAUUGAGGUCAAUGGGACAAAUCUCUGACUUCACUGUCAGCAAGACAAGGCUCUAAUCCAGUUUUUUAGUUGCAGUAUUGGUUCUGGGUUUACAAUACCUCAAUAUAGAAAAAAACCACAACUGUACAGUGUUUGUGUCUGAAAAGUAAUAUAUACUUGCUGUUGAAUGCUCCAUAUUAGAACAAAAACUCAGUUCUUAUUUUUUCCCAUGGUGAUCUGGAUUACUUAGUGGUUUUCUUGUAGAAUUACAGAUGCCUGUACUUGUUCAUGGGGUGGGCUUUUUUUUUUUUUUUUUUAAACAUCUGGGUCUACAAACCAGAAAUCAGCGAAUUUCAGCACCUAACAUUCCCAGUAUAGAGCUCCUUAUUUUCAGUCUCUAUCCACUUACACAGUACUUGAGAUUCCUCCUAUUGAAGCUAAUAGAAAAUCUCCCAGUGACUUCAACGGGAACAAAAAUUUUUUGCACAGUCCACUGUUCUGUCAUGAUUCAUGAAUAUGAGUAUGAAUCUGUAAUGCAGAGUCCAUGCAUAGUGAUAAGGAAUGUACUUAUUUGUUUGGAAGAAAAUUAGAAAAAAAAAUAGUUUAAUAAGAGAAAUUAAUUCAUCUAUGCAAGCAGGAAAGAGCUAAUUCCAGUUCAGAAAUGCCACCCACCAAAGCUAUGGAAACAGGAUAUAGAGUUGUAAGCAUUACAUUCUCAGAAUACACUCUAAUUGACUGACCUGGGUGCAUGAAACAGUUAACCAGCAGCUUCUGAGAAAUGAUGACCCCUCUUCUAGAUGUCACAUACAUCACAGGGCUCACUGUGAUAUCACUGGAGUUGGUAUAAUGAAGUUCACAUAUUCAUGAGAUGAUAUAAUCUUCCAGUUUAAUUUUAAAUUAAUUCUGGGGCACAUGGCACCUUAGCCUUAUUGUCUGGUUUUUCAGCAGUGAUGGGAGACUGAUGCAAUCCAAGUAAGAACAGGAUGGUUCUAAAGACUUAUUUGUUCAAGAGCGCUGUUCAAAAGACUCUUAAUUUGAUCACUUGCUAAGAAUUAUUCAGAAUUAUUUUUAAAACAGGUAUUAAUAAAUCUUGUGCACUGCUGAUUUUCCAUUCCUUUUAAUUCCAGGAGUAAAUCCUGUCCUUUUUGCAAUCAAUAGGGUCAGAAUUUCACCCCAUGUAGUUAAAUAUUGUUUUGGUUUAGCAAUAAUUCAGUAUACCAAAAACCUAAAUAAACAGAUUGUCCUAAUAAUUCAAAAUUUUCCUGUUGCAGCAAAAGAUGUCUAGGAAAAAUUUAGCAGCACAUGAAUUGUAUUCUUGUAAAGUUAAGUAAUGGAUGGAUAAUAUGCAAAAUAAUAAAAAUUCUCAUCUUCUGUUAGCGCAGUGAAGAUUUAUUGCCCCUACAACAUUUGGACUUAGUACUUUCUUCUCAAAGCAAAAGGUAUGCAAAGUUUCAACAGGUCCAACAUGCAAAAUAAGUGCUCUGUGGAACUCACCUUUGAUCAUGCAGGAAAGACUGUGUGAAUUACAGACAAUAUUACUCAGCUCCCAAGCUGAGAGGAAUCAGAUCUGUGUCUUAAUUGUAUAAUCCUUCUGCCUGAGUAUCCAUUGGAUGGAUGGACUUUCUCUAUCAUCUCAUUGCAUGCUUCCUUGAAAACCAAUAAAAUAACGCUGAUUUUUCACACUAAUUCUGCAAAGUCUUUAUUAAUACUUGUUUCUCAGUGUGUGGAUGGCUCAUUGGCAGUAUCACAAUGCAGCCAUCUCUGUGUUAUACAUUUCACAGUUUCUAAGCCAAGUGUUGGGUCAACUUGCCAUUAUGUAAACAAUGUUCUGCUUAAAAACAUUUUUUCUCCAUCCCAUACCUUUGUAUGUCUGCAAUCCUACUGUUUGGCACAUCACCUUUUGGCACAGCCAGGGUUAUAUAUGUGCUGGUUAAAUAAUAUGACAAUUUAGCAUCCGUGGACUCAGACUUCAGUCUGCUGAAAAAUAGAACAUAUGUCCAUAACUUGUUUCCUAUGUAUUGAAUUGAUCAAACCUUUAACUGCCCUUUGGGAGAAUUAAGUUAAUAGACUAGUAUGUGUGUGUAUACAUACACACACAUAUAUAUGCUGUUAAAUACACACACACACACACACAAUUUCUGUCUGAAAAAGCCUCUCCAUUUACUUCCUUCCCAACCUUGCUGUGAGCCCAUCUCCUGAAAAGUCUCCUUCCAGCUAAGAGAAGAUGGAGGUUUCUUCUCCUAUUGCUCAUAAACUUCAUGCUGAAUAUAAUAUGGAGGAGGAGGUAGCUGAAGUGGAAUGUGAGACCUGUCCGCUCCCAUAUACACAUCGGGGCUGGGUGCGUUGCCAUUGCAGUGCUUUCAGCCUCUGCCAUCCUGGGUAGUUCAGAAGUUCUGCUUUGCAGCACAAAUCACUGGAUCAGAUUCUGAGAUGAGAGUCUAAAGUGCUUUAACUUACACCUUCUUCCACCCACUCCACAUAUAAGUUACAUCAGCUUAGACUGCCUUAGACUCACACUCACAUACUAUAAUUUACACAUCACCUCUGAAUUUGGCAUCCUGGGCCUGAUUAUGAACUCACACUGGUAUAAAUCAGGAGCAACAUCAGUGAAGUUAAUGAUGCUAAAACAUUGUAAAAUUGGUGUGAGACAAAUCAGAAGUAGGUCCACUGAAUCUAAGGGAAGGGAAGCUUGUGUAAUUUAUACGAUGAGUUGUACAUAAGGGUGAUAGCUGGAAAAGUAACUGAAAGAAGGUGUAAGAGUUACUGAUUUUCCAUCUUAUUUUACUGUACUAUUAAUUAUAGCUAUUGUUCGUACUGCAGUAACACUUUGGGGCCCCUAUCAGAGAUCAGGGCCCCAACUCCCAUUUUGUGUUAGAUUUUUUCCCAUCUUGUUGCAUAAAUAGCAACUAUUGCAUACUAUCUUUGGUUUUUCUUUAUGACUUAUGGAAGAAUAACAAAGGCAAAUGCAAAAAGAACAUUGCUGUUAAAAAUCUAAACUGUGAUCCUCUUCUGGAAUGAUAUGGCAAUGUAAAUGUAUGUGGUUAUAAUUACACUAACCUGCAAAGGUAAAACAUGGUUUAUGCCUUUUUUUGCUGCUCUAUGAUGUAUAUAAAGUCCUGACAGGUCUAAAAAUAGCAUUGGGAUGAAGAUGUUUCUAUAUAUUUCUUACCUUAGAAAUAUCAGGAAUGUUCAUUCUAACUUUCCAUGUUUUUUAUUUUCUGUAUUUGAGGACACAGAUUUGAAUUGGGAGAUUUCUCAGCCCUUAAUUAGGUCCUAAUCCUGUCCCAAAGAAGUCAAUGGGAAUUUUAGCAUUGGCGUCAAUAGGAGUAGGAUCAAGCACUUCAUGACUGGAGAGUCCAAUCUUUACAAACAAAGCCUUUCUUCCACUAUUUAUAGCAAUAUUUAUAUAUUGUUUAAACUCCCUUUUUGUCUUUGUUUCUGCACUAGUUUGGUACGUGUGAUGUUAUAAAACUACUAGUUCUCCAGUUGUCCAGAGACUCUUCCAGGAAAAACAGGACAGAGAUGCAGAAAACAGUCAAAAAAAACCCCAAACCACCCAACCCUUCCAAGUCUUCAUUACACAUCAUAAAGGGGGUGGGGAGUAAGGGUAGAAGGGUAAAGACACAAUCCCCUUUUAUUUGCUUGAUUUGUUUUUUCAGGUCACCUUUAAAGCAGCUAAAGUGGUGGUUUGUUGGUCUAGUGGCUACACGUUGCACUGUCAUAUACGGAUCUAGGUUUUGUUCCUGAACCCCUAAGCUUGCAUGUGCUAACCCUGACUGGAGGCUGUGCCUUGCUCAUCUCUAAUGUGUCUUUCUUGCAACACCUGGAGUGAUUCUGAUAAGGUCCAGAGGGAGUCUCCCCCAGCCCUCUUUGACAGAAGGGAUGGUUGACAUGAUUCAAGGCCAUCAGUGGUUGGAAGAUGUAUAUUAUGAAAACAGUGGGAACACGGGGUCUCAAAUAAAUAAAAGGUCUCUGGGAAAUAUAGAGUAGGUAGAGAUGGCUGAGAUUUUUGACAGAAAAAUGUUCCCAUCAAAAACAGAAUUUUAAUGAAAGUAAGAUUUGUCACCAGAAAACGUGCUUUAAUUAUAUUUUUCCUAUGGGAAAUUUGUAAAUGAAAAUUUUCAUUUAGUUUUAAAAAGUGAAAAAUUUAUUUCAGUUUUUGAAAGUCACCUUUUAAAAAUAUUUCUCUUUACAAUUUUUGCUUUUUUGUCACUUAAAGCAACAGAGUGAAUGAUGCAGGGAAAGGAUUCCCUUUUUGCCCCCCCUGUUUGGAGGGGUUUUUCCCCCCUCACCGAUUGACUUUUUCUAUGCUGUUGCUUUUCAAAAAUUUCCCAAUAUUUACAAAGUUAGAGGGGAAGAGUUAAGUUGGAGAAGUUUUGAAAAGUUCAAGUAGAAAAGGAAUAAAUGGCUGGAGGGAGCAAUACCCUGGACAGUAUUCAUUUUAUUUCAUGCAGUGGAAAUAUAAAAAAGAAAAAAGACAUUAAAAAAAGAGAGAGCGCAAAACCAGGUAGAAAGGAGAAAAAAUAAUUUUAAAAAAUUGAAAAUUCAAAAAAAAUAAAUAAAUUGCACCAUUUCAGACUCCUCAAAUGGAAAUGACAUCCCAAUUGUUCAUGAAAUUGUUUUCUAGUGUUUCAAUCAGCUCUAAUAAGGGGCUUGAUUUAUGACUGUGUUCCAGUCUUAUGUCAGUUGAAUUCCAUGGACAUCACUGGACUUUCACUGAUAUAAAACUGAAGUAAUCCAGUUUUGAUUCUGACCCAGCAACUUGGAGUUUAAAUGUUAUGGAGUAUAUUUUCAGUUAGCCAAAGAUCUAGUCACUGCCGUUGGAGUAAUUUGCACUUGCAGUUAUCCACAAACAAGAUGAACCAUGGGAGUACAUAUAAGUAGCUAUACUUGUAACUGAAUUGUAGGUACAAAAAUGUGGGUGUAACAUGUGCCUUUAGACGGGAGGCCACUGUCUUGAAAAUUUCACAGCUUCUAAUGAUCCCUAGGGAGGAAUAUUUGCAUUUGUAAACAAAUGAUCUUCCAAACACUGGCCACCUAUGAACCUUUCAUAUGGAAGUUGUACAGAGAAAUUCCUCUUUCCUGGUGGCUUUCAUACAAAAAUGUCAGAGCUUGUUCCUCUUCCAUAGCUUUAAAAAAAAAAAAAUAUGUUAAGAAUGGGCUCACUGAACCCUUUGGGAAAUACCAUUUUUAGCGCAGAAUUUAGUUUCGUAUGGCACCUCCCAUAUGGGAGAUAUCCCAAAGUACUUUAGAGAGCAUUAAAUUACAGAGAUACCAGACAUGCAUUGACGAGACAAACGAAAGCCAUUAUGCACUCAGCAAGACUUCAUGCAGAAUGUUGGAUAUUAGAAACUUGUUUUAUUGAAGGGAGGAGGGGGAGAAAUGUUGUCAUCAACCAUGACAUCUGGUUUAGGCAGUUCCCUCCCCCCCCUUUUUUUUUUUUAAAAGGACCGUGAAAUAUUUUACUUCUACUAGCCACCAAAAGUAGGCAGAUGGGACUUUAGUGUAACCUUUCAUCUACAGGAGGACACUUCUAAUAAUACAAAAAAAAAAAAUAAAUGUUUUGUAUAUCUAUAGCACCUUUCCAAAAUUUGCAUUUACACACACGUGCUCAAUAGCCAGCAUUUGCACAAACAAAGAGGUUUGGGUGCAUCUUUAGAGGUUGCCUUUAAGAUAUACAUUAUAAUGUGAAUCGUUAAAAAUUAAAAUGGAUAAAGAAAGCUACAAGUAUUACUAGAAAAAAUCUCGACUGGUAUUUGAAAAAACAAUGGCUUUGCUUCUAAGUAAGAAACAAAUGGGUGGAUAUGCUGUGUCAAUUAUAACCUCAAAGUUUGCAGUGAAACAGAACUUAGGGCUCAGUCCUGUAACUCAUAUUCAGGUGCACUGCCCCAUCCAUUUUAGUGUGCUGUCUCUUAUAGGCUAUGAGUCCUUAAUGGAUAAUGGACAUAGAAUAAGCAUCUAACCCAAAGAUAUCUAACUCAGCUGAUCAGACACAUUUACUGAUUACCAUCCUUUCAAUUUCACUCUGUGCCCUAUUUCAAUAAAAUACGAUGCACUGGAUAUGAAACAUAGGACUUUGUGAACAGAGAAAGCAGAAGGACCUGCAUUAGAUUGGUCUUGUGUCUUCCUGUGUUCCUGAAUGUUACUGUGAGAAAAUAUUAAAUGAAAGGCACAAUGGGAGGUAUCAAAACUUUGAAAUGAACUACAGCAUGGAAGCGAAUAUCUCGUCACUAAUAGAACAUUCACACAAAGAGCUGGGGAAAAACAACUGAAAGCACACACAAUAACAUGUAGAAUAAGAGGAUGUAGAUGGAAGAAAGUGAUGCCAAAUCUGUACAAUUACGUUUUUGUCUGUCCUUGAUUUUUAGAAUUUUCUUAUUCAGCAGAGUCCAGUUCAUAUUUACUUUGUUUUCAAGUCUGGAAUACUGUGCAUUUCACUCUAAUUGUCUUCUCUAUUCUAAAUGUUUAUACAGUGUGAUUUACUACAAUGUGGCUGCGUAAUUAUGUUGAUGAUUAGAUAAAACAUUUUUGACAUGAAA
Molecule: long non-coding RNA, 11596 nt
Organism: Dermochelys coriacea (leatherback sea turtle)
Lineage: Eukaryota; Metazoa; Chordata; Testudines; Dermochelyidae
Exons: 3
Source: RefSeq, a predicted model, not a curated record